AUUGUACGCUGGCGGAAUGCUUUACACAUGCAAGUCGAACGGCAGCACGGACUUCGGUCUGGUGGCGAGUGGCGAACGGGUGAGUAAUGUAUCGGAACGUGCCCAGUCGUGGGGGAUAACGUAGUGAAAAUUACGCUAAUACCGCAUACGAUCUAUGGAUGAAAGCGGGGGAUCGCAAGACCUCGCGCGAUUGGAGCGGCCGAUAUCAGAUUAGGUAGUUGGUGGGGUAAAGGCCCACCAAGCCAACGAUCUGUAGCUGGUCUGAGGGGACGACCAGCCACACUGGAACUGAGACACGGUCCAGACUCCUACGGGAGGCAGCAGUGGGGAAUUUUGGACAAUGGGCGAAAGCCUGAUCCAGCCAUUCCGCGUGCAGGAUGAAGGCCCUCGGGUUGUAAACUGCUUUUGUACAGAACGAAAAGGUUUCUACUAAUACUAGGAGCUCAUGACGGUACCGUAAGAAUAAGCACCGGCUAACUACGUGCCAGCCGCCGCAGUAA
This 500-nucleotide ribosomal RNA is filed under the name uncultured bacterium. RNAcentral describes it as "partial 16S ribosomal RNA". It matches the Rfam family "Bacterial small subunit ribosomal RNA", at positions 30 to 523 of the family's 1533-position model. The record is from RNAcentral.